UCCCGGUUAACCCGGGCAGUCUCAUUAGAGUUCCCAGCCGAACUGUUGGCAACUAAUGACAAGGGUUGCGCUCGUUGCGGGACUUAACCCAACACCUCACGGCACGAGCUGACGACAGCCAUGCAGCACCUGUACAGCAGUCCCGAAGGAAGACCGCAUUUCUGCAGCUGUCUACUGUAUGUCAAGCCUAGGUAAGGUUCUUCGCGUUGCAUCGAAUUAAACCACAUGCUCCACUGCUUGUGCGGGUCCCCGUCAAUUCUUUUGAGUUUCACCCUUGCGAGCGUACUCCCCAGGCGGUGUACUUAACGCGUUGGCUACGGCACAGUCGGGGUUGAGUCCGACUACACCAAGUACACAUAGUUUACGGCUAGGACUAC
RNAcentral lists this unclassified non-coding RNA (377 nucleotides) under uncultured Chlamydiales bacterium. Its description in RNAcentral is "contains 16S-23S intergenic spacer region". The record is from RNAcentral. Lineage: Bacteria; Pseudomonadati; Chlamydiota; Chlamydiia; Chlamydiales.